Molecule: ribosomal RNA, 702 nt
Filed under: uncultured bacterium
Lineage: Bacteria
Description: bacterial SSU rRNA
Rfam family: Bacterial small subunit ribosomal RNA
Source: RNAcentral
GAGUUUGAUCCUGGCUCAGGACGAACGCUGGCGGCGUGCCUAAUACAUGCAAGUAGAACGCUGACUACUUUAGCUUGCUAGAGUAGAAGGAGUUGCGAACGGGUGAGUAACGCGUAGGUAACCUGCCUACUAGCGGGGGAUAACUAUUGGAAACGAUAGCUAAUACCGCAUAACAGUGUUUAACACAUGUUAGAUGCUUGAAAGAUGCAAUUGCAUCACUAGUAGAUGGACCUGCGUUGUAUUAGCUAGUUGGUGAGGUAACGGCUCACCAAGGCGACGAUACAUAGCCGACCUGAGAGGGUGAUCGGCCACACUGGGACUGAGACACGGCCCAGACUCCUACGGGAGGCAGCAGUAGGGAAUCUUCGGCAAUGGGGGCAACCCUGACCGAGCAACGCCGCGUGAGUGAAGAAGGUUUUCGGAUCGUAAAGCUCUGUUGUAAGAGAAGAACGUGUGUGAGAGUGGAAAGUUCACACAGUGACGGUAACUUACCAGAAAGGGACGGCUAACUACGUGCCAGCAGCCGCGGUAAUACGUAGGUCCCGAGCGUUGUCCGGAUUUAUUGGGCGUAAAGCGAGCGCAGGCGGUUUAAUAAGUCUGAAGUUAAAGGCAGUGGCUUAACCAUUGUUCGCUUUGGAAACUGUUAGACUUGAGUGCAGAAGGGGAGAGUGGAAUUCCAUGUGUAGCGGUGAAAUGCGUAGA